UAAAAACUGAGACAUCAUCAAUGGCAAGUAGUAGUUUAAAAUGGCAAAUAAAGUCUGAAGAUGAACCAGAAGGAUGCAUGAUGGGGUUGAUUCAUAUGUUCAGUUUCCGGCCGGGACAUGAGAAUUCAAGAAAUAAGCUUGCGAAACAUUUCGAUGAAAGGCGUAAAGUUGCUUAUGUAAGUGUUUGUUCAAGUUCUUUAGAAUUCAGAUUUAAACAUCAGGAACAACAUAAUGAGAGAGUUCCAUUCAAUUUGUCUCUCAAAAAAAUUAUAAAAAGUUUGAGACAUUCCAUUGGUGACAAUACAAUUAACAAAGAGUUCAAGACUAAUGAUGCCGAGAAGUUUAAGAGGAGAACACUUGGUUAUUUCAUAUAUGAAGAACCAUGUUUGGCAUGAUGAGAAUGAAACAAUGCCUUUGAAAAAGGUGUCGAAAACCUUGGCCGAUAUGUUCUCCUUGCAUGAAUGCAAAUCACCAGAAGAAGAAAGCAUACAGAUCAAAGAUAACCGAGAAUCAAGUGUCGAUGAAUCCCGGGUUUUUAAAAGGACUUCAUGAUGUUGACAAACAUGUAAGGUCUGUGUUGGAAGCAUCUGGUAUCAAUUACAAAUGAGAUUUCAGAUAGAUUGCGUCGAUCAUGUCAAAUUCUUGAGCCAAUUUUGUUCGAAGAAAUCGAAACUCUCAAAUAAGCCAUCAGGUGAACAGAAACUUCUUUUCGAUUGCAUCAAUGAAGUUCUUGUGGAGAUCCACGGCAUGCUGUUUCAUUGCUCGCCAAAUCCCCGGCCAAUAUCGAUAGGCGAAAACCUCAUUCAAAAAGUUUUUGAAGGCAUUGUUCCGCAUCUAAAGUUCGAAUUUCCGAGCACACUGGAGAAACUGAUAACAAGAGAUUUAGACAAAACUUGGCUGAACUUGACAUUUGAGAUUCAAAACAUUGUAUGUGAGCUAGAAGAUGAUAUUCUUGCAGCUCUAAUAGAUGAAUUCAUUAAUGUUAUAACUUUAGAUUAAUACACAAUUAUAUCAUCCUUCCAAGUACAA
Dioscorea cayenensis subsp. rotundata (Guinea yam) is the source of this 1029-nucleotide long non-coding RNA. RefSeq lists it as uncharacterized. Lineage: Eukaryota; Viridiplantae; Streptophyta; Magnoliopsida; Dioscoreales; Dioscoreaceae. The record is from RefSeq and is a predicted model, not a curated record. The transcript has 3 exons.